GACUUAAAAUCCGUCGACUUUAGAAAUCGUGAGGGUUCAAGU
This 42-nucleotide transfer RNA is filed under the name Colchicum scabromarginatum. RNAcentral describes it as "Androcymbium scabromarginatum partial tRNA-Leu". Lineage: Eukaryota; Viridiplantae; Streptophyta; Magnoliopsida; Liliales; Colchicaceae. The record is from RNAcentral. RNAcentral also lists the same sequence under 11 other names.